Molecule: ribosomal RNA, 676 nt
Filed under: Enterobacter cloacae complex sp. 2023EL-00495
Lineage: Bacteria; Pseudomonadati; Pseudomonadota; Gammaproteobacteria; Enterobacterales; Enterobacteriaceae
Description: partial 23S ribosomal RNA
Rfam family: Bacterial large subunit ribosomal RNA
Source: RNAcentral
GGUUAAGCGACUAAGCGUACACGGUGGAUGCCCUGGCAGUCAGAGGCGAUGAAGGACGUGCUAAUCUGCGAAAAGCGACGGCGAGGUGAUAUGAACCUUUGACCCGUCGAUGUCCGAAUGGGGAAACCCAGUGUGUUCCGACACACUAUCGUUAACUGAAUACAUAGGUUAACGAGGCGAACCGGGGGAACUGAAACAUCUAAGUACCCCGAGGAAAAGAAAUCAACCGAGAUUCCCCCAGUAGCGGCGAGCGAACGGGGAGCAGCCCGGAGUCUGAAUCAGCUUGUGUGUUAGUGGAACGGUCUGGAAAGUCCGACGGUACAGGGUGAUAGUCCCGUACACGAAAAUGCACAGGUUGUGAACUCGAAGAGUAGGGCGGGACACGUGGUAUCCUGUCUGAAUAUGGGGGGACCAUCCUCCAAGGCUAAAUACUCCUGACUGACCGAUAGUGAACCAGUACCGUGAGGGAAAGGCGAAAAGAACCCCGGCGAGGGGAGUGAAAAAGAACCUGAAACCGUGUACGUACAAGCAGUGGGAGCACCUUCGGGUGUGACUGCGUACCUUUUGUAUAAUGGGUCAGCGACUUAUAUUCUGUAGCAAGGUUAACCGUAUAGGGGAGCCGAAGGGAAACCGAGUCUUAACUGGGCGUUAAGUUGCAGGGUAUAGACCCGAAACC